UGCUGAGGACGGGAUUAGGUUCU
RNAcentral lists this microRNA (23 nucleotides) under Mus musculus (house mouse). RNAcentral describes it as "mmu-miR-6918-5p". The record is from miRBase by way of RNAcentral. Lineage: Eukaryota; Metazoa; Chordata; Mammalia; Rodentia; Muridae.